GCGUUAGGCGGAAUCACUGGGCUUAAAGCGUGUGUAGGCGGAGUGCUAAGUACCUUGUGAAAUCCCACGGCUUAACCGUGGAACUGCUGGGUAUACUGGUUCUCUUGAGCCACCUAGGGGCGAGCGGAACAAGUGGUGGAGCGGUGAAAUGCGUAGAUAUCACUUGGAACGCCAAUGGUGAAAACAGCUCGCUGGGGGUGUGCUGACGCUGAGACACGAAAGCCAG
This 226-nucleotide ribosomal RNA is filed under the name uncultured bacterium. RNAcentral's name for it is "partial 16S ribosomal RNA". It matches the Rfam family "Bacterial small subunit ribosomal RNA", at positions 538 to 763 of the family's 1533-position model. The record is from RNAcentral.